AAUCGAACCCGGAGAUAGCUGGUUCUCCCCGAAAUAGCUUUAGGGCUAGCGUCGAGAGAAGAGUUGCGUGAAGGUAGAGCACUGAAUAUGUGAUGGCCCCAUCUCGGGGUACUGAGCAUAAUCAAACUGCGAAUGUCACGCCAACAUGCUCGGCAGUCAGACAGCGGGUGAUAAGGUCCGUUGUCAAGAGGGAAACAGCCCAGACCAUCAGCUAAGGUCCCAAAAUGUAUGCUAAGUGGAAAAGGAUGUGGAGAUGUACAGACAACUAGGAGGUUGGCUCAGAAGCAGCCAUCCUUUAAAGAGUGCGUAACAGCUCACUAGUCGAAUGACUCUGCGCCGAUAAUUUACCGGGGCUAAGCAUACUACCGAAGCUAUGGAUCCCAAGGGAUGGUAGGGGAGCGUUCCAUGAACGGAGAAGUACGACCGAAAGGACGUGUGGAGAUCAUGGAAGAGAGAAUGCCGGUGUGAGUAGCGGAACGUGGGUGAGAAUCCCACGCACCGAAAACCCAAGGUUUCCAGAGGAAGGUUCGUCCGCUCUGGGUAAGUCGGGACCUAAGGCGAGGCCGAAAGGCGUAGUCGAUGGACAACAGGUAGAGAUUCCUGUACCCGUAUAUAUGUGAAGGAAUGACGGAGAGAGGAAGCUGCAGCCAGCGGCUGGAAGAGCUGGUGCAAGCGAGAUAUCGGGAUGGCAGGCAAAUCCACCAUCCGAAACGAGAAGGCGUGAAGCGUACGGAAAGCUACGGCGAGUACGGAAGGCAGUGGAGGAACUUCCAAGAAAAGUUUCUAACGUUAAGUAUAUAUGGCCCGUACCGAAAAUGGACACACAUGGGUGAGGAGAGAAUCCUAAGGUGAGCGAGAGAACUAUAGCUAAGGAACUCUGCAAAAUGACUCCGUAACUUAGGGAGAAGGAGUGCUCAUAGAGAUAUGAGCCGCAGUGAAACGGCCCAAGCGACUGUUUACCAAAAACACAGCUCUCUGCUAAGCCGCAAGGCGAAGUAUAGGGGGUGACGCCUGCCCGGUGCUGGAAGGUUAAGGGGAGGGGUUAACGCAAGUGAAGCCCUGAACUGAAGCCCCAGUAAACGGCGGCCGUAACUAUAACGGUCCUAAGGUAGCGAAAUUCCUUGUCAGGUAAGUUCUGACCCGCACGAAAGGCGUAACGAUUUGGGCGCUGUCUCAGCUGUAGACUCGGUGAAGUCUUAGUACCUGUGAAGAUGCAGGUUACCCGCGACUAGACGGAAAGACCCCAUGGAGCUUCACUGCAGGUUGAUAUUGGGAUUUGAUGCAGCAUGUACAGGAUAGGUAGGAGGCAAAGAGAUGGAUACGCCAGUAUUCAAGGAGCCGCUGUUGGGAUACUACCCCUGUUGUAUUGGAUUUCUAACCGGACGACGUAGAGCCGUUGACGGGACAGUGUCAGUCGGGCAGUUUGACUGGGGCGGUCGCCUCCCAAAGAGUAACGGAGGCGCCCAAAGAUACCCUCAGCUUGGAUGGAAACCAAGCGCAGAGUGCAAAGGCAAAAGGGUGUUUGACUGCGAGACCUACAAGUCGAGCAGGGACGAAAGUCGGGCUUAGUGAUCCGGCGGUGCUGAAUGGAAAGGCCGUCGCUCAACGGAUAAAAGCUACCCUGGGGAUAACAGGCUGAUCUCCCCCAAGAGUUCACAUCGACGGGGAGGUUUGGCACCUCGAUGUCGGCUCAUCGCAUCCUGGAGCUGUAGCAGGUUCCAAGGGUUGGGCUGUUCGCCCAUUAAAGCGGUACGCGAGCUGGGUUCAGAACGUCGUGAGACAGUUCGGUCCCUAUCUGUCGUGGGCGCAGGAAAUUUGAGAAGAGCUGUCCUCAGUACGAGAGGACCGGGAUGGACGCAUCAAUGGUGGACCAGUUGUCACGCCAGUGGCAUAGCUGGGUAGCUAAAUGCGGAAGGGAUAAACGCUGAAGGCAUCUAAGUGUGAAACCCACUUCAAGAUGAGAUUUCCCAUUGC
RNAcentral lists this ribosomal RNA (1974 nucleotides) under human gut metagenome. RNAcentral describes it as "bacterial LSU rRNA". It matches the Rfam family "Bacterial large subunit ribosomal RNA", at positions 831 to 2820 of the family's 2925-position model. The record is from RNAcentral.